UGAACGCUGGCGGCGUGCCUACUACAUGCACGUCGAGCGAACGGACGAGAAGCUUGCUUUUCUGAUGUUAGCGGCGGACGGGUGAGUAACACGUGGAUAACCUACCUAUAAGACUGGGAUAACUUCGGGAAACCGGAGCUAAUACCGGAUAAUAUUUUGAACCGCAUGGUUCAAAAGUGAAAGACGGUCUUGCUGUCACUUAUAGAUGGAUCCGCGCUGCAUUAGCUAGUUGGUAAGGUAACGGCUUACCAAGGCAACGAUGCAUAGCCGACCUGAGAGGGUGAUCGGCCACACUGGAACUGAGACACGGUCCAGACUCCUACGGGAGGCAGCAGUAGGGAAUCUUCCGCAAUGGGCGAAAGCCUGACGGAGCAACGCCGCGUGAGUGAUGAAGGUCUUCGGAUCGUAAAACUCUGUUAUUAGGGAAGAACAUAUGUGUAAGUAACUGUGCACAUCUUGACGGUACCUAAUCAGAAAGCCACGGCUAACUACGUG
Molecule: ribosomal RNA, 495 nt
Filed under: uncultured bacterium
Lineage: Bacteria
Description: partial 16S ribosomal RNA
Rfam family: Bacterial small subunit ribosomal RNA
Source: RNAcentral